AUGCCAUGGUGAGGGUAUUUUCUUAACAGCUCUUUGAACCUCUCUCAUGCAUCAGGAACUGCUUCAUCGUCCAAUUGUUUUAAAAAGACAGAUUUCGUUUUGAGACU
This is a small nucleolar RNA of Cynara cardunculus var. scolymus (artichoke), 107 nucleotides long. The record is from RefSeq and is a predicted model, not a curated record. Lineage: Eukaryota; Viridiplantae; Streptophyta; Magnoliopsida; Asterales; Asteraceae.